AGUGAACGCUGGCGGUAGGCCUAACACAUGCAAGUCGAACGGCAGCACAGUAAGAGCUUGCUCUUACGGGUGGCGAGUGGCGGACGGGUGACGAAUACAUCGGAAUCUACUUUUUCGUGGGGGAUAACGUAGGGAAACUUACGCUAAUACCGCAUACGACCUACGGGUGAAAGCAGGGGAUCUUCGGACCUUGCGCGAUUGAAUUAGCCGAUGUCGGAUUAGCUAGUUGGCGGGGUAAAGGCACACCAAGGCAACGAUCCGUAGCUGGUCUGAGAGGAUGAUCAGCCACACUGGAACUGAGACACGGUCCAGACUCCUACGGGAGGCAGCAGUGGGGAAUAUUGGACAAUGGGCGAAAGCCUGAUCCAGCCAUGCCGCGUGAGUGAAGAAGGCCUUCGGAUCGUAAAGCUCUUUUGUUGGGAAAGAAAAUCAGCGUGUUAAUCCCCCGCUGUCCUGACGGUACCUAAAGAAUAAGCACCGGCUAACUUCGUG
RNAcentral lists this ribosomal RNA (492 nucleotides) under uncultured bacterium. Its description in RNAcentral is "partial 16S ribosomal RNA". It matches the Rfam family "Bacterial small subunit ribosomal RNA", at positions 29 to 507 of the family's 1533-position model. The record is from RNAcentral.